This 69-nucleotide transfer RNA is filed under the name Quasipaa shini (spiny-flanked frog). Its description in RNAcentral is "tRNA-Glu". It matches the Rfam family "tRNA". Rfam says of the family: Transfer RNA (tRNA) molecules are approximately 80 nucleotides in length. Their secondary structure includes four short double-helical elements and three loops (D, anti-codon, and T loops). Further hydrogen bonds mediate the characteristic L-shaped molecular structure. tRNAs have two regions of fundamental functional importance: the anti-codon, which is responsible for specific mRNA codon recognition, and the 3' end, to which the tRNAs corresponding amino acid is attached (by aminoacyl-tRNA synthetases). tRNAs cope with the degeneracy of the genetic code in two manners: having more than one tRNA (with a specific anti-codon) for a particular amino acid; and 'wobble' base-pairing, i.e. permitting non-standard base-pairing at the 3rd anti-codon position. Lineage: Eukaryota; Metazoa; Chordata; Amphibia; Anura; Dicroglossidae. The record is from RNAcentral.
GUUUUUAUAGUUGAAAUACAACAGUAGUUUUUCAGACUACCAGUCUAGGUUAAAGUCUUAGUAGGAACA